RNAcentral lists this unclassified non-coding RNA (206 nucleotides) under plant metagenome. RNAcentral's name for it is "partial contains small subunit ribosomal RNA, internal transcribed spacer 1, and 5.8S ribosomal RNA". The record is from RNAcentral.
UUUCCGUAGGUGAACCUGCGGAAGGAUCAUUCCUAAUAUGUGUUUUAUGGCACUCUUUCAAUCCAUAUCCUCCUUCUUUGCCAUGUCAGUCGUUCUCUUCUCGGGGACCGACCAAACAUCAACCAACACUUUAACUCUGUGUCUGACAAAUAUUACGACUAAAAUAAUUAAAAAUACAACUUUCAACAACGGAUCUCUUGGCUCUC